CUACUUUCUCCUGUCAUUUCCAUAAACACAUACAUACACACACAUGAGAGAGAGAGAGAGAGUGUGUGUGUUUUGCGUGGUAUUUACAGCAAGUAAAGGAGGCAUCCAAAGGGAUCGCAUUGAUCUCAACUCUAUUAAUGUUGCAGCCAAUAUUUAGUUAGAUAUUGAAUUGGGAUCAAGCUAUCCCUUUGAAUUCCUCCUUUGGUGGCUUCUAAGAUAUGCAGAUCCAAUGAAGAAAGACAGUUCGACGGGAAAGAUCCAAUUUUACUUUUCUGAUUUAUAUGUAUGUUUACAUGUGAAAUCAGGUAAUUUGAUGGGUCUGGUUUUGUCUAAUUAAAUGAGAUUUUCUCAACUUGCCAAUUGCACUUCUUGAAUAUAGACAACAGCACAGUUUUAUCUUCGUGUUUUGGUUUUCCAAUUUUUGAGCAGUAUGUAUUUGGUGUUCGACUAAGUACUCUAACUGGUAUUUUUGUAUACUUGGAGCCUAUUUGGGAGUGAUUUUGAGAAUUGAUUUUUUGACCGUUAGGAAAAAAGUGAGGUCCAUCUGUGAGAGAAGAAGUCAAAUAUGACGGCUGAAAUAGUGAAAUAAUGGUCAAAAAAUCACUCUCAAACAGGCUGUUGGAUGUGGGGAACAGUGUUAUUGCUAUCAAUGGUAUUCCAAAGUCAAGUGGGCAGCUCAUGUGUAAAAAGAGGAAUAUGUAAGCAUACAAGGUUCAUGUUAGUACUCACUAUAAAAGAUUAGAUAGUGCAAGGAAGAAGAUUUAAUUUUUUUUUUCCAUAAAUAAAUAAUGGAAUUUUGAAUUGGCGUUAUGACCUUUUUUUUUCCCCUUCG
This 832-nucleotide long non-coding RNA is filed under the name Olea europaea subsp. europaea. The stretch from base 95 to 202 matches the Rfam family "mir-393 microRNA precursor family". Lineage: Eukaryota; Viridiplantae; Streptophyta; Magnoliopsida; Lamiales; Oleaceae. The record is from RNAcentral.